AACUAUUUCUAGCUUGAGUGAAAAAAGUAGAGAAGAAACUGGAAUAAGUUUACAGGAUCUUCUCUUAGAAAUCUACAGAAGUAUAGGGGAGCCAGAUAGUUUGUAUGGCUGUGGUGGAGGGAAGAUGUUACAACCCAUUACUAGACUACGAACAUAUGAACACGAAGCAAUGUGGGGCAAAGCCCUAGUAACAUAUGACCUCGAAACAGCAAUCCCCUCAUCAACACGCCAGGCAGGAAUCAUUCAGGCCUUGCAGAAUUUGGGACUCUGCCAUAUUCUUGCCGUCUAUUUAAAAGGAUUGGAUUAUGAAAAUAAAGACUGGUGUCCUGAACUAGAAGAACUUCAUUACCAAGCAGCAUGGAGGAAUAUGCAGUGGGACCAUUGCACUUCCGUCAGGUAAGAAAUUUG
Molecule: long non-coding RNA, 408 nt
Filed under: Pan troglodytes (chimpanzee)
Lineage: Eukaryota; Metazoa; Chordata; Mammalia; Primates; Hominidae
Description: long non-coding RNA NONPTRT002845
Source: RNAcentral